This 350-nucleotide ribosomal RNA is filed under the name uncultured bacterium. RNAcentral's name for it is "partial 16S ribosomal RNA". It matches the Rfam family "Bacterial small subunit ribosomal RNA", at positions 338 to 705 of the family's 1533-position model. The record is from RNAcentral.
CCUACGGGAGGCAGCAGUAGGGAAUAUUGCUCAAUGGGGGAAACCCUGAAGCAGCAACGCCGCGUGGAGGAUGAAGGUUUUCGGAUUGUAAACUCCUUUUGUUAGAGAAGAUAAUGACGGUAUCUAACGAAUAAGCACCGGCUAACUCCGUGCCAGCAGCCGCGGUAAUACGGAGGGUGCAAGCGUUACUCGGAAUCACUGGGCGUAAAGAGCGCGUAGGCGGGAUAGCAAGUCAGAUGUGAAAUCCAAUGGCUUAAGCAUAGAACUGCAUUUGAAACUGGUAUUCUAGAGGAGGGGAGAGGGAGGUGGAAUUGGUGGUGUAGGGGUAAAAGCAGUAGAGAUCAAGAGGA